GCGGCUGGCUCUGUGUCUGAGUCUGAGUUUUUGCCUUGCCCCCCAUCCCCCUUGUCUCUGUUGACUAGCUUGAGCUUCCAUCUCACUUGGUUAAUUCUCAAUUAACCCAGUCAAGAGCUAAUAUAUGCCGAUAAGCGAUAACCCCCAGGGAUGCAUGCAUUUAUCAGACCAAAACCCAUCUGGGAGGGCUUGCCCUGGUAUCUCCCGGCCGCUUUGGUGACCCUAGAUAAUCUCUGGCCAAUCGCACGUCCCUGUGACAGCGAUGACACAUUCGAAUGUCUGCACUAUCAACUUGAUGGUACUUUCUGCACGUACCAUAGUGACCACGGGUGACUGGGAAUUAGGGUUCAGUUCCGGAGAGGGAGUUUGAGAAUGGCUACCACAUCCAAGGAAGGCAGCAUGCGUGCAAAUUACCCACUCCCGACGCAGAUAAGCAGUGAUGAAAAAUAACAAUACAGGACUCUUUCGAGACCCUGUAAUUGGAAUAAGUACACUUUAAAUUCUUUAACCCCUUAAGGACGCAACUUCUGGAAUAAAAGGGAAUCAUGACAGAAUAUUUCCGUCAUGUGUCCUUAAGGGGUUAAUGAGGAUCUAUUGGAGGGCAAGUCUGGUGCCAGCAGUCGUGGUAAUUCCCGUUCCAAUAGCGUAUUUUAAAGUUGCUGCAGUUAAAAUGGUAAUAGUUGGAUCUUGGGAUCGAGCUGUUGGUCUGCCGUGAGUCGAGCUACCGCCUUUCCUAGCCACAGCCUCUCGUGGCCCCUGUGAUGCUCUUGACUGAGUGUCAUGAAAGCCCGAAACUGUUACUUUAAAAAAAUUAGAGUGUUCAAAGCCGGCCUGCCGCCUGAAUACUUCAGCUAGGAAUAUUGGAAUAGGACUCCAGUUCUAUUUUUUUAGUUUUCGGAACUGGGGCAAUGAUUAAGAGGAACAACUGGGGGCAUUUCUUCUGGGAAACCAAAGUCUUUGGGUUUUUGGGUUCCG
This is a non-coding RNA of Pelobates cultripes (western spadefoot toad), 975 nucleotides long. Lineage: Eukaryota; Metazoa; Chordata; Amphibia; Anura; Pelobatidae. The record is from the annotation of a GenBank genome assembly.